GACGAACGCUGGCGGCGUGCUUAACACAUGCCAGUCGAACGGAAAGGCCCCUUUGGGGGUACUCGAGUGGCGAACGGGUGAGUAACACGUGAGUAACCUGCCCUUGACUUCGGGAUAACUUCAGGAAACUGGGGCUAAUACCGGAUAGGAAUCCUUGCUGCAUGGUGGGGGUUGGAAAGCUUCGGCGGUUUUGGAUGGACUCGCGGCUUAUCAGCUUGUUGGUGGGGUAGUGGCUUACCAAGGCUUUGACGGGUAGCCGGCCUGAGAGGGCGACCGGCCACAUUGGGACUGAGAUGCGGCCCAGACUCCUACGGGAGGCAGCAGUGGGGAAGAUUGCACAAUGGGCGGAAGCCUGAUGCAGCAACGCCGCGUGCGGGAUGACGGCCUUCGGGUUGUAAACCGCUUUCAGCAGGGGCGAAGCUUGUGGUGACGGUACCUGCAGAAGAAGCACCGGCUAACUACGUG
RNAcentral lists this ribosomal RNA (465 nucleotides) under uncultured bacterium. RNAcentral describes it as "partial 16S ribosomal RNA". It matches the Rfam family "Bacterial small subunit ribosomal RNA", at positions 28 to 507 of the family's 1533-position model. The record is from RNAcentral.